Molecule: ribosomal RNA, 1209 nt
Filed under: uncultured Rhizopogon
Lineage: Eukaryota; Fungi; Basidiomycota; Agaricomycetes; Boletales; Rhizopogonaceae
Description: eukaryotic LSU rRNA
Rfam family: Eukaryotic large subunit ribosomal RNA (bases 935-1209)
Source: RNAcentral
GCACGCUCGUUUAUAUAUUCACCUGUGCACUUAAAACUGGGCUCAGUAAGUGGCUCUGAUCUCCUGAAAGGGAUUGAGAAAGGGCUAUGAUAAUGGGUCAAAUCGUGGGCUUGCUAGUAAGUGGUUUCUGAUCUCCUGAAAGGGAUUGAGAAAGGGCUGCGAUAAUAACAAGUCUGCGUAUGUAUGUAGGUUUGGUAUGGUUCUACGAUCAUGCUAGUGGCCUCGCCACGAGAACAAGCUUUAUGUAUAUAUAUGGUCUGCGUCAUUUAAACUAUGCUAGUGGUCUUCUAGGGCUACGAGAACAGGCUUUUACUAGCUUGGUAUGGUUCAACUUGCAGUGCGCUUGCGAGUCUUAUGACUCGUGAUAACGGCCUAUGUACAUUGAUAAGUUUGGUAUGCUUCAAUAUGAACUAUGCUAGUUGCCUCUCUCUCCUCCGGGAUCGAGUCGGGCUACGAGAACAAACUUGCUUCAUAUAAUCUUCAUUUAGAAAGUCUUAGAAUGUCAAUGAUAUUAUUAUUACAACUUUCAGCAAUGGAUCUCUUGGCUCUCGCAUCGAUGAAGAACGCAGCGAAACGCGAUAUGUAAUGUGAAUUGCAGAUCUACAGUGAAUCAUCGAAUCUUUGAACGCACCUUGCGCUCCUUGGUAUUCCGAGGAGCAUGCCUGUUUGAGUGUCAGUGAAUUUCUCAACCCCUUGUAAAAGAGGGUGCUUGGAUAGUGGGGGUUUGCCAGAGACCUUUAAUUAGGACUUGGGCUCUCCUGAAAUGUAUUGGCUUGCGGGUCGACGACUUUUGACUUUGCGCGAAAAGGCUUUCGGCGUGAUAAUGAUCGCCGUGUGCUGAAGUGCAUUGACUUUGGUUAAACUGUCCGUGCCUCUAAUAUUCACUCGAGGGGUUGACCUUCACGGGUCCCCUUUGACGAUUUAUUGAUUAAAUUGACCUCAAAUCAGGUAGGACUACCCGCUGAACUUAAGCAUAUCAAUAAGCGGAGGAAAAGAAACUAACAAGGAUUCCCCUAGUAACUGCGAGUGAACCGGGAAAAGCUCAAAUUUUGAAUCUGGCAGUCUUUAUGGUUGUCCGAGUUGUAAUCUAGAGAAGUGUUUUCCGCGCUGGACCGUGUAUAAGUUUCCUGGAAAGGAACGUCAUAGAGGGUGAAAAUCCCGUCUUUGACACGGACUGCCAGGGCUAUGUGAUGCGCUCUCGACGAGUCG